AUGGCUAAAUACUGGUGGGGAAUCUCUAUUGAUAAACGAUCUCUUCAUUGGCUCUCUUGGGAAAAUCUUGCAAAACCAAAGGUGAAGGGCGGCAUGGGUUUCCAAGAUCUACACCUCUCCAAUCUUGCGAUGCUCGGGAAACAUGGCUGGCACCUUCUUACUAAGCCGGACUCUUUAUGUUCCAGGGUGUUGAAGGGGAAAUAUUUCCCUCAUAUGGAUUUUCUCAAUGCCAUAGCCUCGGCUCGAUCGUCGGCGACCUGGAAGGCCAUCGUUGCGGGGCGAGAUGCCCUAAAUGUCGGUCUUGUUCAUCGUGUGGGUGAUGGAGCAUCCAUAGAUACAUGA
Molecule: ribosomal RNA, 342 nt
Filed under: Triticum aestivum (bread wheat)
Lineage: Eukaryota; Viridiplantae; Streptophyta; Magnoliopsida; Poales; Poaceae
Description: partial small subunit ribosomal RNA
Source: RNAcentral